This 500-nucleotide ribosomal RNA is filed under the name uncultured bacterium. RNAcentral's name for it is "bacterial SSU rRNA". It matches the Rfam family "Bacterial small subunit ribosomal RNA", at positions 28 to 523 of the family's 1533-position model. The record is from RNAcentral.
GAUGAACGCUAGCGGCAGGCUUAACACAUGCAAGUCGUGGGGCAGCACAGGUAGCAAUACUGGGCGGCGACCGGCGCACGGGUGAGUAACGCGUAUGCAAUCUACCUCUAACUGGGACAUAGCCCGUCGAAAGACGGAUUAAUUUCCCAUAACACCACAUGAGGGCAUCUGAGUGUGGUUAAAGCUCCGGCGGUUAGAGAUGAGCAUGCGUGUCAUUAGCUAGUUGGUGAGGUAACGGCUCACCAAGGCGACGAUGACUAGGGGGUCUGAGAGGAUGAUCCCCCACACUGGUACUGAGACACGGACCAGACUCCUACGGGAGGCAGCAGUGAGGAAUAUUGGUCGAUGGGGGCAACCCUGAACCAGCCAUGCCGCGUGAAGGAUGAAUGCCCUAUGGGUUGUAAACUUCUUUUGUUAGGGACGAAACUAUGAUACGUGUAUUGUACUGACGGUACCUAAUGAAUAAGCAACGGCUAACUCCGUGCCAGCAGCCGCGGUAA